GGGAGCGUUCUGUAAGCCUGUGAAGGUGUGCUGUGAGGCAUGCUGGAGGUAUCAGAAGUGCGAAUGCUGACAUAAGUAACGAUAAAGCGGGUGAAAAGCCCGCUCGCCGGAAGACCAAGGGUUCCUGUCCAACGUUAAUCGGGGCAGGGUGAGUCGACCCCUAAGGCGAGGCCGAAAGGCGUAGUCGAUGGGAAACAGGUUAAUAUUCCUGUACUUGGUGUUACUGCGAAGGGGGGACGGAGAAGGCUAUGUUGGCCGGGCGACGGUUGUCCCGGUUUAAGCGUGUAGGCUGGUUUUCCAGGCAAAUCCGGAAAACUAAGGCUGAGGCGUGAUGACGAGGCACUACGGUGCUGAAGCAACAAAUGCCCUGCUUCCAGGAAAAGCCUCUAAGCAUCAGGUAACAUCAAAUCGUACCCCAAACCGACACAGGUGGUCAGGUAGAGAAUACCAAGGCGCUUGAGAGAACUCGGGUGAAGGAACUAGGCAAAAUGGUGCCGUAACUUCGGGAGAAGGCACGCUGAUAUGUAGGUGAAGUCCCUCGCGGAUGGAGCUGAAAUCAGUCGAAGAUACCAGCUGGCUGCAACUGUUUAUUAAAAACACAGCACUGUGCAAACACGAAAGUGGACGUAUACGGUGUGACGCCUGCCCGGUGCCGGAAGGUUAAUUGAUGGGGUCAGCGCAAGCGAAGCUCUUGAUCGAAGCCCCGGUAAACGGCGGCCGUAACUAUAACGGUCCUAAGGUAGCGAAAUUCCUUGUCGGGUAAGUUCCGACCUGCACGAAUGGCGUAAUGAUGGCCAGGCUGUCUCCACCCGAGACUCAGUGAAAUUGAACUCGCUGUGAAGAUGCAGUGUACCCGCGGCAAGACGGAAAGACCCCGUGAACCUUUACUAUAGCUUGACACUGAACAUUGAGCCUUGAUGUGUAGGAUAGGUGGGAGGCUUUGAAGUGUGGACGCCAGUCUGCAUGGAGCCGACCUUGAAAUACCACCCUUUAAUGUUUGAUGUUCUAACGUUGACCCGUAAUCCGGGUUGCGGACAGUGUCUGGUGGGUAGUUUGACUGGGGCGGUCUCCUCCUAAAGAGUAACGGAGGAGCACGAAGGUUGGCUAAUCCUGGUCGGACAUCAGGAGGUUAGUGCAAUGGCAUAAGCCAGCUUGACUGCGAGCGUGACGGCGCGAGCAGGUGCGAAAGCAGGUCAUAGUGAUCCGGUGGUUCUGAAUGGAAGGGCCAUCGCUCAACGGAUAAAAGGUACUCCGGGGAUAACAGGCUGAUACCGCCCAAGAGUUCAUAUCGACGGCGGUGUUUGGCACCUCGAUGUCGGCUCAUCACAUCCUGGGGCUGAAGUAGGUCCCAAGGGUAUGGCUGUUCGCCAUUUAAAGUGGUACGCGAGCUGGGUUUAGAACGUCGUGAGACAGUUCGGUCCCUAUCUGCCGUGGGCGCUGGAGAACUGAGGGGGGCUGCUCCUAGUACGAGAGGACCGGAGUGGACGCAUCACUGGUGUUCGGGUUGUCAUGCCAAUGGCACUGCCCGGUAGCUAAAUGCGGAAGAGAUAAGUGCUGAAAGCAUCUAAGCACGAAACUUGCCCCGAGAUGAGUUCUCCCUGACUCCUUGAGAGUCCUGAAGGAACGUUGAAG
This 1632-nucleotide ribosomal RNA is filed under the name Escherichia coli. Its description in RNAcentral is "partial 23S ribosomal RNA". It matches the Rfam family "Bacterial large subunit ribosomal RNA", at positions 1232 to 2843 of the family's 2925-position model. The record is from RNAcentral. Lineage: Bacteria; Pseudomonadati; Pseudomonadota; Gammaproteobacteria; Enterobacterales; Enterobacteriaceae.